AACGAACGCUGGCGGCAUGCCUAACACAUGCCAGUCGAACGAGACCUUCGGGUCUAGUGGCGCAAGGGUGCGUAACGCGUGGGAACCUGCCCUUAGGUUCGGAAUAACUCCCCGAAAGGGGUGCUAAUACCGGAUAAUGUCUUCGGACCAAAGAUUUAUCGCCUUUGGAUGGGCCCGCGUUGGAUUAGCUAGUUGGUAGGGUAAAAGCCUACCAAGGCGACGAUCCAUAGCUGGUCUGAGAGGAUGAUCAGCCACACUGGGACUGAGACACGGCCCAGACUCCUACGGGAGGGAGCAGUGGGGAAUAUUGGACAAUGGGCGAAAGCCUGAUCCAGCAAUGCCGCGUGAGUGAUGAAGGCCUUAGGGUUGUAAAGCUCUUUUACCCGGGAUGAUAAUGACAGUACCGGGAGAAUAAGCUCCGGCUAACUCCGUG
This 433-nucleotide ribosomal RNA is filed under the name uncultured bacterium. RNAcentral describes it as "partial 16S ribosomal RNA". It matches the Rfam family "Bacterial small subunit ribosomal RNA", at positions 29 to 507 of the family's 1533-position model. The record is from RNAcentral.